This 1521-nucleotide long non-coding RNA is filed under the name Sus scrofa (pig). Its description in RNAcentral is "lncRNA (ENSSSCG00015013612.1)". Lineage: Eukaryota; Metazoa; Chordata; Mammalia; Artiodactyla; Suidae. The record is from RNAcentral.
AUCCCUCGUUGCUGUGGCUCUGGCGUAGGCCGGCAGCUACAGCUCCAAUUCGACUCCUAGCCUGGGAACCUCCAUAUGCCGUGGGAGCAGCCAAAGAAAUGGCAAAAAAAAAGACCAAAAAAAAAAAAUGUAUAUAUAUAAAAUAUAAUCAUGUGGAAGCUACCCCUGAAAGAGAAGACGAACUCCUUGUUCUUCAGAUGCUUACAGUUAAGGAAAUGGGAAAGGAUCAAGAGAAAUGGGAAGUAUUUGCAAAUAAGGAGGGGGGAUAUGUGUAAGGGGGAAGGAUCUGGGCUGACUAAGGAACGCCAGCCUGCUCUUCCUAAAGAAGAUCAAUUUGCACUCUUAUAGCACUUCUCAUUCGGAGAUCUCAAGGUAUAUGACACCUCUUGGGUACCAGAGAUUUAGAAUACGGAAUAACCAGGGGCCAGAAGAAGGGAUGGGAAACAUACCUAAUAGAUGUUCCAGGAGGAGUUAGGUAAGCGUGUCAUUGCCUGCAUUGGAAUUGGGCCACAAUACAGGAUGUGAGUGAGCUCUCAGACUUUCAGGGCAAGGAGAUGAUAAUAUCAGUCUGUCAGCUCCAGUGUAAAGGAGUAUGCAGGUUAGUUUCAUUGCCCCUAAUAGUAUAAAGACUAGUGUGUGUGUGUGUGUGUGUGUGUGUGUAUAUAUAAAAUAUUCCUUAUACUAUUAUGCAUGAAAUAGUGUAAGGAAUAGUGUAUAUACAUAUACUACGAGGGGCAUAUAGUAUUAUGCCCCUAAUAGUGUAAAGAAUAGUGUAUAUGUAUAUUCCUUAUACUAUUAUGCAUGAAAAUGUUUUAUUUUUGCAUUUCUCAAAAUCGCUAUUUCCAAGCUAGGUGCAUCCUGCCAAAGCCUGCAUUGCCUCCAUUUCUUCCACAUCAUCCGCAGACCUCGUCCGCUUGCCUGAAACUCCUGACCUUUCCCCUCUUGGGCUGCCUCAAGUCUGCAUAAGUGAUGCGCAAGGAACCUGUCCCUACUGGGACUGAAGAGGAGACAGGUGAUGACACAUCCUUCUUCACGUGCUUCCCGUUUGCCUCCUCCCCUCAUUUCCGACUUGGACUUGGACUUCUCAUAACCUUUCCAGGUGCUGCCUCGUUGCACAGCAUCUCUUGCCAUCUCGCCUCUCUUCCCAGUUCAACAGUGUUGGACAACUCGAGAAAUUCAGGUUGGCCAGGAAGGCUACAGAAGCCGACCCUGGAUGACUUAAAUAAAAAAAGAAGAGUGAAUUGAAUGAAUGCGUCAAUUCACAGUCAUGAUGGCAAAACCGAAGAACAGGUUGAGAGGAUGGUCGGAGCCAUGGGAGAGAAAGGCGGUCAGAAUCACAACACAAAUCAGACCACAGUGCAGCCUGAGACAUCAGAAAGAAUCUCUACUGCUCUCGCUUCUCUGUCGCCGCCUCCAGAGUCAAAGCCCCAGGGGAAACAGCCAACUGGCCCCAGUUCCCAUGAAGUGAGGUAGGGUAAGACAAUUUGCCUUUUUUUUUUUUUUACCUUCUGGAAUGAGAGA